AUUGAACGCUGGCGGCAUGCUUUACACAUGCAAGUCGAACGGCAGCGCGGGCUUCGGCCUGGCGGCGAGCGGCGAACGGGUGAGUAAUACAUCGGAACGUGCCCAGUAGUGGGGGAUAGCUCGGCGAAAGCCGGAUUAAUACCGCAUACGACCUGAGGGUGAAAGCGGGGGAUCUUCGGACCUCGCGCGAUUGGAGCGGCCGAUGGCAGAUUAGCUAGUUGGUGGGGUAAAGGCCUACCAAGGCGACGAUCUGUAGCUGGUCUGAGAGGACGACCAGCCACACUGGAACUGAGACACGGCCCAGACUCCUACGGGAGGCAGCAGUGGGGAAUUUUGGACAAUGGGCGAAAGCCUGAUCCAGCAAUGCCGCGUGUGUGAUGAAGGCCUUCGGGUUGUAAAGCACUUUUGGCGGGAACGAAAAGGACUGUGCCAAUACCACGGUUCGAUGACGGUACCCGCAGAAUAAGCACCGGCUAACUACGUG
RNAcentral lists this ribosomal RNA (484 nucleotides) under uncultured bacterium. Its description in RNAcentral is "partial 16S ribosomal RNA". It matches the Rfam family "Bacterial small subunit ribosomal RNA", at positions 29 to 507 of the family's 1533-position model. The record is from RNAcentral.